RNAcentral lists this ribosomal RNA (464 nucleotides) under uncultured bacterium. Its description in RNAcentral is "partial 16S ribosomal RNA". It matches the Rfam family "Bacterial small subunit ribosomal RNA", at positions 28 to 506 of the family's 1533-position model. The record is from RNAcentral.
GACGAACGCUGGCGGCGUGCUUAACACAUGCAAGUCGAGCGGAAAGGCCCUGCUUGCAGGGUACUCGAGUGGCGAACGGGUGAGUAACACGUGGGUGAUCUGCCCUGCACUUCGGGAUAAGCCUGGGAAACUGGGUCUAAUACCGGAUAUGACCUUCCAUGUAGUGUGGGGGGUGGAAAGAUUUAUCGGUGUGGGAUGAGCCCGCGGCCCAUCAGCUUGUUGGUGGGGUAAUGGCCUACCAAGGCGUCGACGGGUAGCCGGCCUGAGAGGGUGGACGGCCACAUUGGGACUGAGAUACGGCCCAGACUCCUACGGGAGGCAGCAGUGGGGAAUAUUGCACAAUGGGCGGAAGCCUGAUGCAGCGACGCCGCGUGGGGGAUGACGGCCUUCGGGUUGUAAACCUCUUUCGACAGGGACGAAGCUUCGGUGACGGUACCUGUAUAAGAAGCACCGGCUAACUACGU